CCUACGGGGAGCUGCAGUGGGGAAUAUUGGGCAAUGGGCGCAAGCCUGACCCAGCAACGCCGCGUGAAGGAAGAAGGCUUUCGGAUUGUAAACUUCUGUUCUCAGGGACGAAGAAAGUGACGGUACCUGAGGAAUAAGCCACGGCUAACUACGUGCCAGCAGCCGCGGUAAUACGUAGGUGGCAAGCGUUAUCCGGAUUUAUUGGGUGUAAAGGGCGGGUAGGCGGGAGCGAAAGUCAGAGUUGAAAACUCAGGGCUCAACCCUGGGCCUGCAUUUGAAACUGUGUUUCUUGAGUGCUGGAGAGGCUAGUGGAAUUCCGGGUGUAGGGGUGAAAUGCGUAGAUAUACGGAGGAACACCAGUGGCGAAGGCGGAUUGCUGGACAGUAACUGACGCUGAGGCGCGAAAGCGUGGGGAGCAAACAGGAUUAGAUACCCUAGUAGUC
Molecule: ribosomal RNA, 443 nt
Filed under: uncultured bacterium
Lineage: Bacteria
Description: partial 16S ribosomal RNA
Rfam family: Bacterial small subunit ribosomal RNA
Source: RNAcentral